UCCGUCGUGAAAAGGGAAACAACCCAGACCGCCAGCUAAGGUCCCAAAGUUGUGGUUAAGUGGUAAACGAUGUGGGAAGGCUUAGACAGCUAGGAGGUUGGCUUAGAAGCAGCCAUCCUUUAAAGAAAGCGUAAUAGCUCACUAGUCGAGUCGGCCUGCGCGGAAGAUGUAACGGGGCUCAAACCACACACCGAAGCUGCGGGUGUCACGUAAGUGACGCGGUAGAGGAGCGUUCUGUAAGCCUGUGAAGGUGAGUUGAGAAGCUUGCUGGAGGUAUCAGAAGUGCGAAUGCUGACAUGAGUAACGACAAUGGGUGUGAAAAACACCCACGCCGAAAGACCAAGGGUUCCUGCGCAACGUUAAUCGACGCAGGGUUAGUCGGUUCCUAAGGCGAGGCUGAAAAGCGUAGUCGAUGGGAAACAGGUUAAUAUUCCUGUACUUCUGGUUACUGCGAUGGAGGGACGGAGAAGGCUAGGCCAGCUUGGCGUUGGUUGUCCAAGUUUAAGGUGGUAGGCUGAAAUCUUAGGUAAAUCCGGGGUUUCAAGGCCGAGAGCUGAUGACGAGUCGUCUUUUAGAUGACGAAGUGGUUGAUGCCAUGCUUCCAAGAAAAGCUUCUAAGCUUCAGGUAACCAGGAACCGUACCCCAAACCGACACAGGUGGUCGGGUAGAGAAUACCAAGGCGCUUGAGAGAACUCGGGUGAAGGAACUAGGCAAAAUGGCACCGUAACUUCGGGAGAAGGUGCGCCGGCUAGGGUGAAGGAUUUACUCCGUAAGCUCUGGCUGGUCGAAGAUACCAGGCCGCUGCGACUGUUUAUUAAAAACACAGCACUCUGCAAACACGAAAGUGGACGUAUAGGGUGUGACGCCUGCCCGGUGCCGGAAGGUUAAUUGAUGGGGUUAGCGCAAGCGAAGCUCUUGAUCGAAGCCCCGGUAAACGGCGGCCGUAACUAUAACGGUCCUAAGGUAGCGAAAUUCCUUGUCGGGUAAGUUCCGACCUGCACGAAUGGCGUAACGAUGGCGGCGCUGUCUCCACCCGAGACUCAGUGAAAUUGAAAUCGCUGUGAAGAUGCAGUGUAUCCGCGGCUAGACGGAAAGACCCCGUGAACCUUUACUGUAGCUUUGCACUGGACUUUGAGCCUGCUUGUGUAGGAUAGGUGGGAGGCUUUGAAGCGUGGACGCCAGUUCGCGUGGAGCCAUCCUUGAAAUACCACCCUGGCAUGCUUGAGGUUCUAACUCUGGUCCGUGAUCCGGAUCGAGGACAGUGUAUGGUGGGCAGUUUGACUGGGGCGGUCUCCUCCUAAAGAGUAACGGAGGAGUACGAAGGUGCGCUCAGACCGGUCGGAAAUCGGUCGCAGAGUAUAAAGGCAAAAGCGCGCUUGACUGCGAGACAGACACGUCGAGCAGGUACGAAAGUAGGUCUUAGUGAUCCGGUGGUUCUGUAUGGAAGGGCCAUCGCUCAACGGAUAAAAGGUACUCCGGGGAUAACAGGCUGAUACCGCCCAAGAGUUCAUAUCGACGGCGGUGUUUGGCACCUCGAUGUCGGCUCAUCACAUCCUGGGGCUGAAGCCGGUCCCAAGGGUAUGGCUGUUCGCCAUUUAAAGUGGUACGCGAGCUGGGUUUAGAACGUCGUGAGACAGUUCGGUCCCUAUCUGCCGUGGACGUUUGAGAUUUGAGAGGGGCUGCUCCUAGUACGAGAGGACCGGAGUGGACGAACCUCUGGUGUUCCGGUUGUCACGCCAGUGGCAUUGCCGGGUAGCUAUGUUCGGAAAAGAUAACCGCUGAAAGCAUCUAAGCGGGAAACUUGCCUCAAGAUGAGAUCUCACUGGGAACUUGAUUCCCCUGAAGGGCCGUCGAAGACUACGACGUUGAUAGGCUGGGUGUGUAAGCGUUGUGAGGCGUUGAGCUAACCAGUACUAAUUGCCCGUGAGGCUUGACCAUAUAACACCCAAACA
Molecule: ribosomal RNA, 1953 nt
Filed under: Pseudomonas aeruginosa
Lineage: Bacteria; Pseudomonadati; Pseudomonadota; Gammaproteobacteria; Pseudomonadales; Pseudomonadaceae
Description: bacterial LSU rRNA
Rfam family: Bacterial large subunit ribosomal RNA
Source: RNAcentral